This is a long non-coding RNA of Penaeus monodon (black tiger shrimp), 269 nucleotides long. RefSeq lists it as uncharacterized. The transcript is spliced from 3 exons. NCBI's taxonomy places the organism in Eukaryota, Metazoa, Arthropoda, Malacostraca, Decapoda, Penaeidae. The record is from RefSeq and is a predicted model, not a curated record.
CGAACGCCGGGAUUACGUGCGGAUACCCAGCAGUCGCCUCCAACAUCUGUCAUAAGUUACGUAGCAGCGACUUAAAUUACCGACUGAGACAUAUUCCACCAACUGGAAGUGAGAAAAGAUGGCUCCUCAUGGUGGAAGACCUGUUGGGCCGCCAAGAUUAACUUCAUUUCUUCGGGCUUAUGCCAAUGUCAGCAGGAAAGGAAAAGAGGAUGAUUAUGACUUGGCCCAAAUCUUGGCAAUCAAAAGAGAACAGCGAAGGCAGCGAUGAA